UACAUAACCACCCCUGUCCCUUCCAUUCAAUCUGGCUCUCCCCCUACAGGGCUCCAUGCUGAAAAUGCCACAGGACCAAGGAUAGAGCCUUGUGGGACACCGUCUGGACCUGUCUGAGCACUGUCACGGCUGUUUGCUAGCUCCCUGCAGGCAUGUUGGUGCUUGGAUGAAUGAGGGAAAAGCAUGUCCAGUGCCGGCAACCAGAGCAAACUCAGAACUGGAAGAGGGAGGUCCUUUUGAAGCGCCCCUCUCUGGUCAUCUCCAUGCAUGAUAUCACAUGACAGGGGAAAGAACAGUCACCUUGGAAAACAAAAGGUAAUAGUUGUUAAUCACUUUAAUGAGGCAUGACAACAUCACUGUCCAUUUCUCACCCACAGCAAGGGAGCAUGAUGGACCCAAACUAGAUUAGUGAUUAACUGUGUUUGUGGCACAUUGUAUUUAGUGCUACAAAGGUGCAGUGUCCCAGCGGCCC
RNAcentral lists this long non-coding RNA (472 nucleotides) under Sinocyclocheilus anshuiensis. Its description in RNAcentral is "lncRNA (ENSSANG00000047830.1)". Lineage: Eukaryota; Metazoa; Chordata; Actinopteri; Cypriniformes; Cyprinidae. The record is from RNAcentral.